GAUGAACGCUGGCGGCGUGCCUAAUACAUGCAAGUCGAGCGAACGGACGAGAAGCUUGCUUCUCUGAUGUUAGCGGCGGACGGGUGAGUAACACGUGGAUAACCUACCUAUAAGACUGGGAUAACUUCGGGAAACCGUAGCUAAUACCGGAUAAUAUUUUGAACCGCAUGGUUCAAAAGUGAAAGACGGUCUUGCUGUCACUUAUAGAUGGAUCCGCGCUGCAUUAGCUAGUUGGUAAGGUAACGGCUUACCAAGGCAACGAUGCAUAGCCGACCUGAGAGGGUGAUCGGCCACACUGGAACUGGGACACGGUCCAGACUCCUACGGGAGGCAGCAGUAGGGAAUCUUCCGCAAAGGGCGAAAGCCUGACGGAGCAACGCCGCGUGAGUGAUGAAGGUCUUCGGAUCGUAAAACUCUGUUAUUAGGGAAGAACAUAUGUGUAAGUAACUGUGCACAUCUUGACGGUACCUAAUCAGAAAGCCACGGCUAACUACGUG
This 497-nucleotide ribosomal RNA is filed under the name uncultured bacterium. Its description in RNAcentral is "partial 16S ribosomal RNA". It matches the Rfam family "Bacterial small subunit ribosomal RNA", at positions 28 to 507 of the family's 1533-position model. The record is from RNAcentral.